UACGUAGGGCGCAAGCGUUGUCCGGAAUUAUUGGGCGUAAAGAGCUCGUAGGCGGCCUGUUGCGUCCGCUGUGAAAUCCCGGGGCUCAACCCCGGGCGUGCAGUGGAUACGGGCUGGCUGGAGGCAGGCAGGGGAGAACGGAAUUCCCAGUGUAGAGGUGAAAUUCGUAGAUAUUGGGAAGAACACCGGUGGCGAAGGCGGCUCUCUGGACCGUAACUGACGCUGAGGCGCGAAAGCGUGGGGAGCAAACAGG
This 253-nucleotide ribosomal RNA is filed under the name uncultured bacterium. Its description in RNAcentral is "partial 16S ribosomal RNA". It matches the Rfam family "Bacterial small subunit ribosomal RNA", at positions 524 to 776 of the family's 1533-position model. The record is from RNAcentral.